Molecule: non-coding RNA, 31 nt
Filed under: Mus musculus (house mouse)
Lineage: Eukaryota; Metazoa; Chordata; Mammalia; Rodentia; Muridae
Source: RNAcentral
UGGCAUUCAACCCCAUGCUUCAGAAUAUGUC